Molecule: long non-coding RNA, 1675 nt
Filed under: Triticum aestivum (bread wheat)
Lineage: Eukaryota; Viridiplantae; Streptophyta; Magnoliopsida; Poales; Poaceae
Description: long non-coding RNA (TAES_LNC023875)
Source: RNAcentral
UGACUAUAAAAGCUACUUUUAAAUUUGACUCUCUGUCAUGUCUGAAUUACAGAUAUUUUCACCAUCUUAUCAAACUAAGUAAAUACAUCUGCGACAAUGCUACUUUCUCAAUACUUGAGCCAAGAAGAUACAUUGUGAUAUCAGAGAAAUAACAUUAACCUUCCACUCCGCCAUAGGAUUAUAUUGAAAUCGUAAACCCAAGAGCACCACCAAAGCAAGCAACUCCCAGAAACGACUCCGCCUGUCUGAUGUCUAGUCCUGCAGCUGCACGUCAUGACCGCCGCCAGCGAUGGAGGCACGGCCACCGUCAUCAUCUCCACCUGAGGCGUCUCCUUCCUCCUCCGUGCGGGUUCUCGCUUACAAGUCUCCCCCUGCCUGCCUCCCUCUCCUCCGCAGCCCCCGCACGAGGCCACGUGAUCGUUGUCAGCUUCAUGGGUGGUAGGGGCAGGGACCCGCCACCCAUUCCGGAAUCACGGCGAUUCCAGGGAGUGCUUGGCUUGCCUGCUGUCCAUUCAUACGGCUCUGCGUCGCAACCACUAUCAUCAAUGGAGCCACAACCGUUGUCCUCUCCGCCUCAGGCUCAGACAUACAUGAGCUAGAUAAAUCCUUAUUACUCUCCACAAGCAACGUUGUCAUGAAACAUAUAGGAGCAAGCUAUAUCACAAAUUAUUCUCAGGAGCUAGUUAAGUUACCAACAAUCAUUUAUUAUUAACCUCAAGCACUACUUUAUUUCAAAGAACAUAAAAAUGAGGAAAAUCUGAACAAACAUAACCAUUUGGAUUUUGGACACUGCUGAGAUCAAUAUUCAGAUAUCUUGAUUUUUUAAAAAGCCUAUCAAUGCUUUUGGAAUAGUUAUGAUCGGAAUGGGCCAUUUGUUCUGAGAUUUGACGAAUACACAGUAUGUUCUCAUAUGGCAACCUGUACAUGAACACCAACCUGCUGAGACCAAAAAAAUUUGCGAACGUACUUGCUGAAUAAUAUAAUAUAUAGUCUGCAAUCAAAAUAGUGUAUCUCGGUCUUUUGUCAGCAACAUCUAAGAUUUCGUAAGCUCUAACAGUAAAAGACCAUCAAGUGCAAGAAUUGGAACAUGGAAGAAGCUUACGUGGGCAUGAUGCCAUCGGGUUGUAUGCCAAGAUCGUGGUUGUAGAGCUCCCUCUAUCUCCCUUGCCAAGCUCUCCCUCCGACCAGCAAUAGAACAACUGCUCUUGCUGCUUUUGAACUCUCCUCGAGUAAACGCGGGAACUGAGAUUGAAUGUGGAUGAAGUGAUCACCUUGAAGAUGCGUGGCUUGAGGUGCUUGGAGCAGAUCCAUCACGCGCGUGCCCCUCUACUCCUACGGCUUCAUCAAGAUGAAGAGGCUAGAGAGAAGGAGCGACAGAGGUCGUCCCCUCUCCCUCCGCUGGCAGACCCAAACCAUCAGUUAGAACGCGGCUAGGGCGCGGGGAGGCCAUGCCAUCACGGAUCAACAGCGAGAAUGCAGGCCCUCACAAGUUGUAAGCGCCCCUGACCACCACGUCGGCAUGGUUGAGAAGAGAUGGAUCUGGGCGGUGGUUUCCGGUGACGAGCGAAAUAGAAGUUGCUUGUACCCAUAGUAGCUGUGUCGGCAACGGCCAUCACAAUGAAAUAUAAUCAAUGCGUGUCGUCCUGAGUUCCUGAAAGUUUUCACCUGGAUUUUC